AAUAAGCUUUAUUUUUAAUCCGCCACGGGCGAAGAGUAACUGAACUCCAAGCUGUUAUUUUCUUAAAGCUGCAAUCAUGAGCAGAGUAAAAAUUCUGAACAACGGGAGGUAAACUACAGACACAAAAUCGAGCAACAGAGUUAACAGGUAAUGAGCACCCAAUUGCAAAAAGGUGAUGUGAAACGGUCAGUGCGCGGUAGUACCUGGGGCUACACAGCUAAAGUCAGGGACGAAGCUGCAUUGUAGUUACUGGGGUCAAUUGACCAAUGAAUUUAGGAAAUCCUUCACUAAUUUGCACUAAUCACUACUGAUUGAUAGAAGAUGACCCCACUGCCAUGGAUAUGACCCCAUCAAACUAUUUUCUCAGCUUGUCUCUGGCUAAAGUAUGUAAGAAUCUUGAGCACAAAGCUGAUAUCAAUCACACCUUGAGUGACUUGAGCACAAAGCUGAUGCGGUAUGUCCCAACAUUCGGUUCCCCAGCGUCAUCAUUUGCUUAAGCUGCAACCAAGGAGCACAACCAGGGUAAGAACUCUGACUGCUGCAGAUAAACUACAUACAGACAGAGAAUCAGGUAACAGAGUAACAGCUUCGGGGUAACAGUAACAGCGACUGCUGGAAAUAAACUACAUAUACAGACACAUAAUUAUUUACAUGAGUGAUGUUUUCAACGAUUACUUCGGAAAAUAUUGAAGAAUCUGGUGGGUCUGGUACAAUGUAGUGCAGGUGAUGUGAAAGGGUUAGUACGUGAUACCUGGUGCGCCUGGUAUUCCAGUGUGGAAAAGGGUUAUUGCAGCUAAAGUACGUAAGGAAUCUUGAGCACAAAGCUGAUGCAGUGUGUCACGUCACAUCUUGAGUGCAAAAAAGACUUGAGCACCGAAGCUGAUGCGGUAUGUCACAUCACCGUGCACAGUGUACCACGGAUAGCAUGUCACGGGUGCCAACUUCAGUUCCCACCAUCGUUGUUUGUUUAAGCUGCAACCAAGGAGCACAUCUAGGCCAAAAAUUCUGACAGUGAUGUACCCAUGUAACUAUACUAGAGAGCACAGAGUAAAAAGUGUCACUGCUAAAAACAAACUAUAGACACUGAAUCAUGUACAUCUCAACUCAGGGAAUCAAGACGUAAAAACCUCUAAACAGUGGACAUGAAUUGAUAGAUUCAGAAGCAAGCAAACUAGUAACUCCAAUUGAUGGAUUCUAAGCUAUCUGCGCUAAGUAACAGUAACUGAACUCUAUCCCCAAUUUCAGCUGUUGUUUGCUUAAAGUUCAACCAUGAGCAGAGUAAGAGUUCUGAUUGCUGGAGAUAAACUGCAGAAAUAUAAUGUGCUAGUGUUAAUCUGCUCCCGAUGAUGAUGAUGACUCUAGUACAUGCCCAUGUGGAUGUGCACCUGGACGUGGUAGUGGCGUACUUGAUACAGCGUGAAGGAGAUGACCAUGGCCGUGACCUCAUACGCCAUGCCGCAGGAAGACCACAGCGGGUCGGUCAAUUAUAGGUGGGCCAGUCAUGCUCUGUUCCUGAUAAAUCACGUCACACAUUUCGCUUGCGGAUUCCGAAUUGUUUGC
This 1560-nucleotide long non-coding RNA is filed under the name Triticum aestivum (bread wheat). RNAcentral describes it as "long non-coding RNA (TAES_LNC026518)". The record is from RNAcentral. Lineage: Eukaryota; Viridiplantae; Streptophyta; Magnoliopsida; Poales; Poaceae.